AGUGAACGCUGGCGGUAGGCCUAACACAUGCAAGUCGAACGGCAGCACAGUAAGAGCUUGCUCUUACGGGUGGCGAGUGGCGGACGGGUGAGGAAUACAUCGGAAUCUACUUUUUCGUGGGGGAUAACGUAGGGAAACUUACGCUAAUACCGCAUACGACCUACGGGUGAAAGCAGGGGAUCUUCGGACCUUGCGCGAUUGAAUGAGCCGAUGUCGGAUUAGCUAGCUGGCGGGGUAAAGGCCCACCAAGGCGACGAUCCGUAACUGGUCUGAGAGGAUGAUCAGCCACACUGGAACUGAGACACGGUCCAGACUCCUACGGGAGGCAGCAGUGGGGAAUAUUGGACAAUGGGCGCAAGCCUGAUCCAGCCAUACCGCGUGGGUGAAGAAGGCCUUCGGGUUGUAAAGCCCUUUUGUUGGGAAAGAAAAGCAGCAGGUUAAUACCCCGCUGUUCUGACGGUACCCAAAGAAUAAGCACCGGCUAACUUCGUG
Molecule: ribosomal RNA, 492 nt
Filed under: uncultured bacterium
Lineage: Bacteria
Description: partial 16S ribosomal RNA
Rfam family: Bacterial small subunit ribosomal RNA
Source: RNAcentral